ACGAACGCUAGCGGCGUGCUUAACCCCUGCCAGUCGAACGAUGAAGCCUAGCUUGCUAGGUGGAUUAGUGGCGAACGGGUGAGUAAUACGUGAGUAACCUACCUUUAACUCUGGGAUAAGCCUGGGAAACUGGGUCUAAUACCGGAUACGACCAAUCUCCGCAUGGGGUGUUGGUGGAAAGCGUUAUGUAGUGGUUAUAGAUGGGCUCACGGCCUAUCAGCUUGUUGGUGAGGUAACGGCUCACCAAGGCGACGACGGGUAGCCGGCCUGAGAGGGUGACCGGCCACACUGGGACUGAGACACGGCCCAGACUCCUACGGGAGGCAGCAGUGGGGAAUAUUGCACAAUGGGCGCAAGCCUGAUGCAGCGACGCCGCGUGAGGGAUGACGGCCUUCGGGUUGUAAACCUCUGUUAGCAGGGAAGAAGAGAAAUUGACGGUACCUGCAGAGAAAGCGCCGGCUAACUACGUG
Molecule: ribosomal RNA, 470 nt
Filed under: uncultured bacterium
Lineage: Bacteria
Description: partial 16S ribosomal RNA
Rfam family: Bacterial small subunit ribosomal RNA
Source: RNAcentral